ACACGACUACAUUAGAUACCCGUGUAGUCCCAGCCCUAAACGAUGCGCGUUAGGUGUAUCGGUGACCACGAGUCACCGAGGUGCCGAAGGGAACCGUGAAACGUGCCGCCUGGGAAGUACGGUCGCAAGGCUGAAACUUAAAGGAAUUGGCGGGGGAGCACCACAACGGGUGGAGCUUGCGGUUUAAUUGGAUUCAACGCCGGAAAUCUUACCGGGACCGACAGCAACAUGAAGGCCAGGCUGAAGACUUUGCCGGAUUAGCUG
Molecule: ribosomal RNA, 264 nt
Filed under: uncultured archaeon
Lineage: Archaea
Description: partial 16S ribosomal RNA
Rfam family: Archaeal small subunit ribosomal RNA
Source: RNAcentral